UACGUAGGGGGCAAGCGUUAUCCGGAUUUACUGGGUGUAAAGGGAGCGUAGACGGUUAUGUAAGUCUGGAGUGAAAGCCCGGGGCCCAACCCCGGGACUGCUUUGGAAACUGUGUAACUGGAGUACAGGAGGGGCAGGCGGAAUUCCUGGUGUAGCGGUGAAAUGCGUAGAUAUCGAGAGGAACACUCGUGGCGAAGGCGGGUUCCUGGACAUUAACUGACGCUGAGGCACGAAGGCCAGGGGAGCGAAAGGG
This 253-nucleotide ribosomal RNA is filed under the name uncultured Eubacteriales bacterium. Its description in RNAcentral is "uncultured Clostridiales bacterium partial 16S ribosomal RNA". It matches the Rfam family "Bacterial small subunit ribosomal RNA", at positions 524 to 776 of the family's 1533-position model. Lineage: Bacteria; Bacillati; Bacillota; Clostridia; Eubacteriales. The record is from RNAcentral.